This 253-nucleotide ribosomal RNA is filed under the name uncultured bacterium. RNAcentral describes it as "partial 16S ribosomal RNA". It matches the Rfam family "Bacterial small subunit ribosomal RNA", at positions 524 to 776 of the family's 1533-position model. The record is from RNAcentral.
UACGGAGGGGGCGAGCGUUAUUCGGAAUUAUUGGGCGUAAAGGGCGCGUAGGCGGCUCUAUAAGUCAAAGGUGAAAUCCCUCGGCUCAACUGAGGAACUGCCUUUGAAACUGUUGGGCUUGAGGCCGGGAGAGGGUAGUGGAAUUCCCAGUGUAGCGGUGAAAUGCGCAGAUAUCGGGAGGAACACCGGUGGCGAAGGCGGAUCUCUGGGCCUGUCCUGACGCUCAGGCGCGAAAGCUAGGGGAGCGAACAGG